GUGAGGAAUAUUGCGCAAUGGAGGCAACUCUGACGCAGCCAUGCCGCGUGCAGGAAGAAGGCGCUACGCGUUGUAAACUGCUUUUAACCGGGAAGAAACCCCAGGACGUGUCCUGGGUUGACGGUACCGGAGGAAUAAGCACCGGCUAACUUCGUGCCAGCAGCCGCGGUAAUACGAAGGGUGCAAGCGUUAUCCGGAUUCAUUGGGUUUAAAGGGUGCGUAGGCGGAGCGUUAAGUCAGUGGUGAAAUCCUGCAGCUUAACUGUAGAAUUGCCAUUGAUACUGGCGCUCUUGAGUGCGCUUGAAGUGGGCGGAAUGUGCCGUGUAGCGGUGAAAUGCUUAGAUAUGGCACAGAACACCAAUUGCGAAGGCAGCUCACUAAGGCGAUACUGACGCUGAGGCACGAAAGCGUGGGGAUCGAACAGGAUUAGAUACCCUUGUAGUCC
Molecule: ribosomal RNA, 445 nt
Filed under: uncultured bacterium
Lineage: Bacteria
Description: partial 16S ribosomal RNA
Rfam family: Bacterial small subunit ribosomal RNA
Source: RNAcentral